Molecule: small nucleolar RNA, 118 nt
Filed under: Mus spretus (western wild mouse)
Lineage: Eukaryota; Metazoa; Chordata; Mammalia; Rodentia; Muridae
Description: predicted gene, 24717 (ENSMSPG00010038776.1)
Rfam family: Small nucleolar RNA SNORA17
About the family: snoRNA ACA 17 belongs to the H/ACA family of snoRNAs and is predicted to guide pseudouridylation of the 28S rRNA at positions U4659 and U4598. It shares the same host gene together with ACA43. NB This family has a high threshold value to exclude a large number of closely related sequences that do not appear to have conserved H and ACA boxes, and may be pseudogenes.
Source: RNAcentral
CUUGGCCCUAGAAGUGUUGCAGGUAUAGUGUCACUUGUAGAUGGCAGAAAGGAGAAAUUCUACUUUUACACUCAGUGUUAUGAUCUACGAACAUCUGAAUGAUUAAUAGCCUAGCAUU